This is a long non-coding RNA of Felis catus (domestic cat), 1467 nucleotides long. RefSeq lists it as uncharacterized. The record is from RefSeq and is a predicted model, not a curated record. The transcript is spliced from 2 exons. Lineage: Eukaryota; Metazoa; Chordata; Mammalia; Carnivora; Felidae.
GAAGCAGGCUCCAGGCUCUGAGCUGUCAGCACAGAGCCCGACGUGGGGCUUUGAACCCACAAACCGUGAGAUCGUGACCUGAGCCGAAGUUGGACGCUUAACUGACUGAGCCACCGAGGCGCCCCUGAAGUACACAGUUGAAUACAAUGGGAAUUUUCGUAAUUUAUCAACUGUUGUGAUGCCUGAAGUAUUUUAUGGUUCGUAUUUAUAAGCUCAAUUCAUUUCAACAACAAUCACUUAAGAACUUGAGGUUUGGUUUGUUAGUUGAGGUUUUUUAGAGGGACGUCAAAUAUGUGAAACUUUCAGGUGCAGUUCUGAAGGAGUUGAGGUCCAGACCGUAAUAAAUAGAAGAAAGCACCAAGUCCCCUUCAAAGUGAUUUUUAAAACCCGCUGUAGUCACGAACACCAGACAAGACGUGCGAAACGAAUGGACCUUGAGAGUUUCGGGCUGGUUGCAUUAGGAGGUUGAUGUUAAUUUAAAUACAAAUUUUUUUAGUGUUUAUUUAUUUUAGAGACAGAAAGACGGAGCAUAAGCAGGGGAGGGGCAGGGAGAGCCAGAGACAGAAUCUGAAACAGGCUCCAGGCUCUGAGCUGUCAGCACAGAGCCCAACGUGGGGCUUGAACCCACAAACCGUGAGAUCAUGGCCUGAGCUGAAGUCAGACACUUAACCGACUAAGCCACCCAGGUGCCUGUAAGUUUUAAAGCCCAGGGUAGCCUGCUGAGUCACAGUAUUUCACACAGCAGCUGGAUUCCUGCUGACAUGUAAUGGGAAUUAGGGUUCCCGAGGUCAUUUAGAGCCAGACUCUUGACUCUUUAGCAGAAAACUGCUUGCCAUGCCCCAGAGUUUUCUUUUUAUUUUUGGUUUGCUUUGUUUGUGGCAGUGAAGAGAUACUGAAGAGUUUGGAGCCGGAGACUGAUGGGCAGGAAGUAUAAUUUUAGGAAGAUAUAUUGGAUAAGAAAUAAAAGGCGAGGGCACGAGAUGGUUUCUCCUGGCUACUACAUUUCUCUGGCUAAUACAUCUCCAAGAUAACUGACUCCAUGCUCCUACAAGGAACAAAACCCCCAGAGCAAGGCCUCUUACAGAGAUGCGUCCAUGCUGCAGCUGUGGGGCAAGGGCCCAACGUGGGGGCCAUGGAAUGAAAACCAAAGCCCACAUACAGCAGAGCUGACCUGAGGUCACGGGUAUGGACAAUCACUGACUUCCUUCUGCUUUGGCAAUCGUGGUUAAUUCAGAAGGUAGAGUCACAGAGGACACACAGGAUGAACCUUCACAGAACGGAGGUGCUCACAGCCUCCCCAGAAGGAGAGCAAAACAGACGUGUUGGGAUCAUGUCCAAAUCAACUAGGUUUAGUCCAAGCUCUAGCAGGCCUGAGGGUCUUUGCUUUGCUGCACAGUAGCUGUGUGGCCUUAGCCACUUGGAGCUGGGGGAGCCUUGGUCUCCCCGCCCCCGCCUGCACUUUAAAUU